This 179-nucleotide ribosomal RNA is filed under the name Staphylococcus aureus. RNAcentral's name for it is "partial 16S ribosomal RNA". It matches the Rfam family "Bacterial small subunit ribosomal RNA", at positions 1 to 174 of the family's 1533-position model. The record is from RNAcentral. Lineage: Bacteria; Bacillati; Bacillota; Bacilli; Caryophanales; Staphylococcaceae.
UUUAUGGAGAGUUUGAUCCUGGCUCAGGAUGAACGCUGGCGGCGUGCCUAAUACAUGCAAGUCGAGCGAACGGAUGAGAAGCUUGCUUCUCUGAUGUUAGCGGCGGACGGGUGAGUAACACGUGGAUAACCUACCUAUAAGACUGGGAUAACUUCGGGAAACCGGAGCUAAUACCGGAU